CCCGGGCAGGUGAGGUUCGUUAGCCGUGGUAGGCAAUUCACCUAGGAGAGCAAACUCCGAACAAUAAACCCGGGCAGGUUGGGCUCGUGAGCCGUCAUAGGUAAUACACCUAGGAGAGCAAACUCCGAACAAUAAACCCGGGCAGGUGGAGGUCGUUAGCGAAAGCAAUUCAUCUAGGAGAGCAAACUCCGAUUACAAACCCGGGCAGGUGGAGGUCGUUAGCGAAAGCAGUUCACCUAGGAGAGCAAACUCCGAUUACAAACCCGGGCAGGUGAGGUUCGUUAGCCGUGGUAGGCAAUUCACCUAGGAGAGCAAACUCCGAACAAUAAACCCGGGCAGGUUGGGCUCGUGAGCCGUCAUAGGUAAUACACCUAGGAGAGCAAACUCCGAACAAUAAACCCGGGCAGGUUGGGCUCGUGAGCCGUCAUAGGCAAUUCACCUAGGAGAGCAAACUCCGAACAAUAAACCCGGGCAGGUUGGGCUCGUGAGCCGUCAUAGGCAAUUCACCUAGGAGAGCAAACUCCGAACAAUAAACCCGGGCAGGUGGAGCUCGUCAGCCGUGGUAGGCAGUCUGCCUAGGAGAGCAAACUCCGAACAAUAAACCGGGGCUUGUGGUGCUCGUUAGAUGUCGUAGACAAUCCACGUGAUGGGAACACCAAUGUAAAGGAAAAUAAAGAGGAACACCAGAUAAAGGAAAAUAUAGUAACAAAACAUCAAGAAAAGAAAAGAAAAAACACAGAUCAUCCACCUUCAGGCCCUAACAUCUCCAAAAUUAUGGAUGAGUCUUUUCUGGGGAGAAAGAGGCUCAUCCAGACCAAAGAACAUCAAAAAGGGAUGAUAUAGAAAGGAACACCAAAAAAAUGGGAAAAAGAGAAAAAAACAUCACAAAAGAAAAGUAACAACAAUAACAGAACAACGUCAAGAAAAGUAACAUACAAAGAAACAUCAUCCACCAUUCGGCCCCAAACUAACAUCACCAAAAUUAUGGGUGGGUCUUUUCUGGGGAGAAAGAGGCUCACCCAGACCAAAGAACAUCAAAGAGGGAUGAUAUAGAAAAGAACACCAAAAAAUUGGGGAAAAAAGAGCAAAAAAACAUCGCAAAAGAAAAGUAACAGCAAUAACAGAACAACAUCAAGAAAAGUAACAUACAAAGAAACAUCAUCCACCAUUCGGCCCCAAACUAACAUCACCAACAUUAUGGGUGGGUCUCUUCUGGGAGGAAAGCGGCUCACCCAGACCAACGAAGAACAUCAACAAGAGGAUGAUAUGAAAUAAAAGAACAUAAAAAACACGAAGAAAAGAAAUAAGAAGAACAGAAAAAAACAUCGGAAAAGAAAAACAAGAAGAAAAACACAUCAAGAGAAGAAAAAUAUAAGAAACAUCAUCCACCUUUCGGCCCCUAACUAACAUCACCAAAAUCAUGGGUGGGUCUCUUCUGGGAGGAAAGCGGCUCACCCAGACCAACGAACAUCAACAAGAGGAUGAUAUGAAAUAAAAGAACAUCAAAAAAGAAAAACAACAGCAAGAAAACAAAGAAAAAGAUAAAGAAAA
Eriocheir sinensis (Chinese mitten crab) is the source of this 1551-nucleotide long non-coding RNA. RefSeq lists it as uncharacterized. NCBI's taxonomy places the organism in Eukaryota, Metazoa, Arthropoda, Malacostraca, Decapoda, Varunidae. The record is from RefSeq and is a predicted model, not a curated record. The transcript has 3 exons.